Molecule: transfer RNA, 72 nt
Filed under: Rhipicephalus microplus (southern cattle tick)
Lineage: Eukaryota; Metazoa; Arthropoda; Arachnida; Ixodida; Ixodidae
Description: tRNA-Glu
Rfam family: tRNA
About the family: Transfer RNA (tRNA) molecules are approximately 80 nucleotides in length. Their secondary structure includes four short double-helical elements and three loops (D, anti-codon, and T loops).
Source: Rfam by way of RNAcentral
UCCGGCGUGGUCUAGUGGCUAGGAUAAAUGGCUUUCACCCAGAAGGCCCGGGUUCGAUUCCCGGCGUCGGAA